GUAAGUUGGAAUCAGAUAUGCAAGCUUGUACGGGUUCUCUUGAUUUUCAUUGUGUGGAUUUUGCUACUUUGAUAAUCACUUCUUUAGACGGAACAAAGUUUAGAUCCUCCUGAAUCAAAAAGCCCUUUUAAACACUAAUAAGUACCGUUAUUUUAUGAUAUUGAUUCUUUUGAAUAGUUGGUACUUAUUGUAUUUGAUUCGUU
This 203-nucleotide long non-coding RNA is filed under the name Gossypium barbadense (sea-island cotton). RNAcentral's name for it is "long non-coding RNA (GBAR_LNC021203)". Lineage: Eukaryota; Viridiplantae; Streptophyta; Magnoliopsida; Malvales; Malvaceae. The record is from RNAcentral.